Molecule: ribosomal RNA, 460 nt
Filed under: uncultured bacterium
Lineage: Bacteria
Description: partial 16S ribosomal RNA
Rfam family: Bacterial small subunit ribosomal RNA
Source: RNAcentral
CCUACGGGUGGCAGCAGUGAGGAAUAUUGGUCAAUGGACGCAAGUCUGAACCAGCCAUGCCGCGUGCAGGAAGACGGCUCUCUGAGUUGUAAACUGCUUUUGUACGAGGGUAAACGCAGAUACGCGUAUCUGUCUGAAAGUAUCGUACGAAUAAGGAUCGGCUAACUCCGUGCCAGCAGCCGCGGUAAUACGGAGGAUUCAAGCGUUAUCCGGAUUUAUUGGGUGUAAAGGGUGCGUAGGCGGUCGGAUAAGUUAGAGGUGAAAUCCCGAGGCUCAACUUCGGAAUUGCCUCUGAUACUGUGCGGCUAGAGAGUAGUAGCGGUAGGCGGAAUGUAUGGUGUAGCGGUGAAAUGCUUAGAGAUCAUACAGAACACCGAUGGCGAAGGCAGCUUACCAAGCUACUUCUGACGUUGAGGCACGAAAGCGUGGGGAGCAAACAGGAUUAGAUACCCCAGUAGUC